CUUAUUCAAUUUUCUCUUUAAAAACUAUACAAUAAAACAAACCAAUACAUAAAAUUGUUGAUCGACAGGCCCCAGUUUUCAGAAAAGAAAUCACACUUUCAAAAAUUACGCGUCCUUCCCAAUACAAACAACCAACUUCUUCCUUUCACUUCACAGUUCAUAUCUCGAAACCCUAAUUUUAUCUCUCUAAAUUUCUCUUCAAACUUCUUUCUCGCUCUAAAUUCAGUUUCAUGGCUGAUGGCAGUAGAACGAAUCCCGAUCCAGGAGGAGCAGCCGAUGACUUUUCUCCGUGGACGCUACCACCUGACUCUGAUAGCGUCAAUUAUCUCUUUACUAGUGAAAGAGAGAGUAGUAUACUGAGUGAAUUCGGUUGGAAUCUUCACGGUGGUGAACCGUUCCGGUUCACUGAACUCCUCCGAGUACAUCCUCCAGAUUUGGAGGGAAACAUUAGGUCUGCACCUGAAAGUACUAGUACCAGCUUUGCGUUACCAGGAUCGUCAGCUACUCCUGCCGCCGAUGAUUGUGCUGGCGGCAGUAGUAAUGUUAGGCCAGCAUCUGGCGGCGGUGUUAGUGGAGGAGACGUGUCGACAUCGAAUCCGUCGAUAUCGUCUAGCUCGAGCGAGGAUCCGCCGACGAGUUCCGGCGGGAAACCACCUGAAGAGAUACCGAGUAAGGUUAGAAAGAAGGGUCAGAAACGAAUUCGGCAGCCGAGAUUUGCGUUUAUGACAAAGAGUGAAGUUGAUCAUCUUGAGGAUGGCUACCGAUGGCGUAAAUAUGGUCAGAAAGCGGUUAAAAAUAGUCCAUUUCCCAGGAGUUACUACCGUUGCACAAAUGCCAAAUGCACAGUGAAGAAAAGGGUUGAACGAUCAUCAGAAGACCCCGCCAUUGUAAUUACAACAUAUGAAGGGCAGCACUGCCACCAUACGGUUGGUUUUCCCCGAGGUGGAAUCAUUAGUCAUGAUCCCAAUUUUGUUAGGAUUCCCUCAGUGUCACAGUUUUGUUCUCCUGCUGAUCUUCGGUCAGUUCAAGAAAAUCCUUCAACUAUUACACAAUCACAAGCCCGACGGCCGGCUCAAACAGUUGAACCUAGUAUACUGAGAAACCCAAAUCCGCAGCCCCAAAUAGAUGAAGGACUUCUUGGAGAUAUUGUACCGUCUGGAAUGCGAAACUGAUGAAACAGAACUGGUGAGAGAGAAAGUAAAUCAAUAUGUCAGUGUACAACCCUCACUAUGUUUGGCCUGCUCCUUGCUUUUUUUUAGGCUCUGAUGCAGUCUUCAGAUACAUGCAGGGGCGGAAUCAAUCACUAAGUUAUCUUCAGUUGUUACUCUGUUUCUUUCAAAGUUUCAAUGUCGUUUUUUAUCGAAUUAUUAUUGUGUUUCUACUUCGAUCACCGACCAUUUUUCCUUUUUUCUCUCUCGCUUUCUUCUUUUGUUUCUGAUCAGGUGUGUAUAUGUUGCAGGAAAUUCAUGGUGCCUUCUUUUAUUAUGGAGAAGAAAAGGAGAAAGAAAAUUUUAACUGGACGUUAAUUACUUAUUAAUUACUUGUCUGAAUUGUAAUUCUAUGUAAAGUUGAUAGCUUAAAUCUUCAUUGUAAACCUAGCUUUCUAAUUUGAGUCAUCAUUUUACUAGUAUAUAAAUAUUGUUAUAUUUUCUGGGGUUA
Mercurialis annua (annual mercury) is the source of this 1659-nucleotide RNA transcript. It is a transcript of the gene named probable WRKY transcription factor 57, with no coding region annotated. The record is from RefSeq and is a predicted model, not a curated record. The transcript has 5 exons. Lineage: Eukaryota; Viridiplantae; Streptophyta; Magnoliopsida; Malpighiales; Euphorbiaceae.